RNAcentral lists this ribosomal RNA (409 nucleotides) under uncultured Prevotella sp. RNAcentral's name for it is "bacterial SSU rRNA". It matches the Rfam family "Bacterial small subunit ribosomal RNA", at positions 355 to 761 of the family's 1533-position model. Lineage: Bacteria; Pseudomonadati; Bacteroidota; Bacteroidia; Bacteroidales; Prevotellaceae. The record is from RNAcentral.
UGAGGAAUAUUGGUCAAUGGGCGAGAGCCUGAACCAGCCAAGUAGCGUGCAGGAUGACGGCCCUAUGGGUUGUAAACUGCUUUUAUAAGGGAAUAAAGUGAGCCUCGUGAGGCUUUUUGCAUGUACCUUAUGAAUAAGGACCGGCUAAUUCCGUGCCAGCAGCCGCGGUAAUACGGAAGGUCCGGGCGUUAUCCGGAUUCAUUGGGUUUAAAGGGAGCGUAGGCCGCCCUUUAAGCGUGUUGUGAAAUGUAGGGGCUCAACCCCUGCACUGCAGCGCGAACUGGAGGGCUUGAGUACACGCAAGGCAGGCGGAAUUCGUGGUGUAGCGGUGAAAUGCUUAGAUAUCACGAAGAACCCCGAUUGCGAAGGCAGCUUGCCGGAGUGUGACUGACGCUGAAGCUCGAAAGCG